AGAGUUUGAUCCUGGCUCAGAGCGAACGCUGGCGGCAGGCCUAACCAUGCAAGUCGAACGGGCCCUUCGGGGGUCAGUGGCAGACGGGUGAGUAACGCGUGGGAACGUGCCCAUCUCGGGAUACCCAGGGAAACUUGGGCUAAUACCGGAUACGCCCUUUUGGGGAAAAGAUUCAUUGCCGAUGGAUCGGCCCGCGUCUGAUUAGCUAGUUGGCGAGGUAACGGCUCACCAAGGCGACGAUCAGUAGCUGGUCUGAGAGGAUGAUCAGCCACACUGGGACUGAGACACGGCCCAGACUCCUACGGGAGGCAGCAGUGGGGAAUAUUGGACAAUGGGCGCAAGCCUGAUCCAGCCAUGCCGCGUGAGUGAUGAAGGCCUUAGGGUUGUAAAGCUCUUUCACCCACGACGAUAAUGACGGUAGUGGGAGAAGAAGCCCCGGCUAACUUCGUGCCAGCAGCCGCGGUAAUACGAAGGGGGCUAGCGUUGCUCGGAAUCACUGGGCGUAAAGGGCGCGUAGGCGGCCGAUCAAGUCAGGGGUGAAAGCCUGUGGCUCAACCACAGAAUUGCCUUUGAUACUGUUCGGCUCGAGACCGGAAGAGGUUGGUGGAACUGCGAGUGUAGAGGUGAAAUUUCGUAGAUAUUUCGCAAGAACACCAGUGGCGAAGGGGCCAACUGGUCCGCUGACGCUGAGGCGCGAAAGCGUGGGGAGCAAACAGGAUUAGAUACCCUAGUAGUCC
Molecule: ribosomal RNA, 737 nt
Filed under: uncultured bacterium
Lineage: Bacteria
Description: bacterial SSU rRNA
Rfam family: Bacterial small subunit ribosomal RNA
Source: RNAcentral